UUGGGUGCCGCAUAACCCCGGGAAACUGGGGAUAAUUCCGGAUAACGCACAUAUGCUGGAAUGCUUUAUGCGUAAAAUGGAUUCGUCUGCCCAAGGAUGGGUCUGCGGCCUAUCAGGUAGUAGUGGGUGUAAUGUACCUACUAGCCAACAACGGGUACGGGUUGUGAGAGCAAGAGCCCGGAGAUGGAUUCUGAGACAUGAAUCCAGGCCCUACGGGGCGCAGCAGGCGCGAAAACUUUACAAUGCGGGAAACCGUGAUAAGGGGACACCGAGUGCCAGCAUCAUAUGCUGGCUGUCCAGGUGUGUAAAAUACACCUGUUAGCAAGGGCCGGGCAAGACCGGUGCCAGCCGCCGCGGUAACACCGGCGGCCCGAGUGGUGAUCGUGAUUAUUGGGUCUAAAGGGUCCGUAGCCGGUUUGGUCAGUCCUCCGGGAAAUCUGAUAGCUCAACUAUUAGGCUUUCGGGGGAUACUGCCAGGCUUGGAACCGGGAGAGGUAAGAGGUACUACAGGGGUAGGAGUGAAAUCUUGUAAUCCCUGUGGGACCACCUGUGGCGAAGGCGUCUUACCAGAACGGGUUCGACGGUGAGGGACGAAAGCUGGGGGCACGAACCGGAUUAGAUACCCGGGUAGUCCCAGCCGUAAACGAUGCUCGCUAGGUGUCAGGCAUGGCGCGACCGUGUCUGGUGCCGCAGGGAAGCCGUGAAGCGAGCCACCUGGGACGUCCGC
RNAcentral lists this ribosomal RNA (727 nucleotides) under uncultured Methanosarcinaceae archaeon. Its description in RNAcentral is "SSU rRNA". It matches the Rfam family "Archaeal small subunit ribosomal RNA", at positions 115 to 840 of the family's 1478-position model. Lineage: Archaea; Methanobacteriati; Methanobacteriota; Methanomicrobia; Methanosarcinales; Methanosarcinaceae. The record is from RNAcentral.